Molecule: non-coding RNA, 24 nt
Filed under: Gossypium hirsutum (cotton)
Lineage: Eukaryota; Viridiplantae; Streptophyta; Magnoliopsida; Malvales; Malvaceae
Source: RNAcentral
AGUGAUACGAGCCAAGGAGGUGAC